UUUAUUGGCGUGACAAACUACAAAAUCUACAAACAUAUGUUUUAUAGAUGUAUAGGCAGCAAAAUGAAAAUUCUAGAAGCAGCGCAGUCUUCCAAACUGCCUUGUCUUCUGGGGUGGCAUUUCGCAAGUUUGCCUAAAUUUCGAAAAUUGCAUAGAUAUCCUGAAACCGUUUUUCGUCCGACUUUGCACGCCCAUAACGGGAGAACGAAACAAGUGGGCUAGAGUAGCUUGUGGAAUAUAAGGGUACGGUGGUGACUAGGCGUGAAUGCGAGACAUAGAAUAGAGGAAAAGGGAUUUAGCAGGGCAUGGCAAUUUCAAUUAUGGAUUUAUAGCCGUUUUAAGAACCUCUAUGCACUAUCUUCCAUUCUCCUGUCAAGUGCUAAAAGAAAAUUAACUGUAUUUGUCACUCUAUACAAUAAAAAUAAAGCGAAUUGCAAUACG
This is a long non-coding RNA of Photinus pyralis (common eastern firefly), 441 nucleotides long. RefSeq lists it as uncharacterized. The transcript has 2 exons. NCBI's taxonomy places the organism in Eukaryota, Metazoa, Arthropoda, Insecta, Coleoptera, Lampyridae. The record is from RefSeq and is a predicted model, not a curated record.